This 385-nucleotide ribosomal RNA is filed under the name Clymenura clypeata. Its description in RNAcentral is "SSU rRNA". It matches the Rfam family "Eukaryotic small subunit ribosomal RNA", at positions 43 to 424 of the family's 1831-position model. The record is from RNAcentral. Lineage: Eukaryota; Metazoa; Annelida; Polychaeta; Maldanidae.
AUUAAGCCAUGCAUGUCUAAGUACAAGCUUUUACCCAGUGAAACCGCGAAUGGCUCAUUAAAUCAGUUAUGGUUCCUUAGAUCGUACAAUCCUACUUGGAUAACUGUGGCAAUUCUAGAGCUAAUACAUGCAAGAAAGCUCCGACCUUCGGGGAAGAGCGCUUUUAUUAGAUCAAAACCAAUCGCCCGCAAGGGUGUCCCAUUGGUGACUCUGGAUAACUUUGGGCUGAUCGCAGGGCCUUGUGCCAGCGACGUAUCUUUCAAAUGUCUGCCCUAUCAACUUUCGUAGGUAGGUGCUAUGCCUACCUAGGUUUUUACGGGUAGCGGGGAAUCAGGGUUCGAUUCCGGAGAGGGAGCAUGCGAAACGGCUACCACAUCCAAGGAAG